Molecule: ribosomal RNA, 459 nt
Filed under: uncultured bacterium
Lineage: Bacteria
Description: bacterial SSU rRNA
Rfam family: Bacterial small subunit ribosomal RNA
Source: RNAcentral
GACGAACGCUGGCGGCAGGCCUAACACAUGCAAGUCGAGCGAAAGUUGCGCCUUCGGGUUAGUGGCGGACGGGUGAGUAACGCGUGAGAAUCUGCCCUCAGGAGGGGGACAACAGCUGGAAACGGCUGCUAAUACCCCAUAUGCCGCGAGGUGAAAUGAAUUUCGCCUGAGGAUGAGCUCGCGUCUGAUUAGCUAGUUGGUGUAGGUAAUGGCUCACCAAGGCAUCGAUCAGUAGCUGGUCUGAGAGGAUGAUCAGCCACACUGGGACUGAGACACGGCCCAGACUCCUACGGGAGGCAGCAGUGGGGAAUUUUCCGCAAUGGGCGAAAGCCUGACGGAGCAACGCCGCGUGAGGGAUGAAGGCCUCUGGGCUGUAAACCUCUUUUAUCAAGGAAGAAGAUCUGACGGUACUUGAUGAAUAAGCCACGGCUAAUUCCGUGCCAGCAGCCGCAGUAACAC